This 496-nucleotide ribosomal RNA is filed under the name uncultured bacterium. RNAcentral describes it as "partial 16S ribosomal RNA". It matches the Rfam family "Bacterial small subunit ribosomal RNA", at positions 29 to 507 of the family's 1533-position model. The record is from RNAcentral.
AUGAACGCUGGCGGCGUGCCUAAUACAUGCAAGUCGCGCGAACAGACGAGGAGCUUGCUCCUCUGACGUUAGCGGCGGACGGGUGAGUAACACGUGGAUAACCUACCUAUAAGACUGGGAUAACUUCGGGAAACCGGAGCUAAUACCGGAUAAUAUAUUUAACCGCAUGGUUCAAUAGUGAAAGACGGUUUUGCUGUCACUUAUAGAUGGAUCCGCGCCGCAUUAGCUAGUUGGUAAGGUAACGGCUUACCAAGGCAACGAUGCGUAGCCGACCUGAGAGGGUGAUCGGCCACACUGGAACUGAGACACGGUCCAGACUCCUACGGGAGGAAGCAGUAGGGAAUCUUCCGCAAUGGGCGAAAGCUUGACGGAGCAAAGCCGCGUGAGUGAUGAAGGUCUUCGGAUCGUAAAACUCUGUUAUUAGGGAAGAACAAAUGUGUAAGUAACUAUGAACGUAUUGACGGUACCUAAUCAGAAAGCCACGGCUAACUACGUG